GAUGAACGCUGGCGGCGUGCCUAAUACAUGCAAGUCGAGCGAACGGACGAGAAGCUUGCUUCUCUGAUGUUAGCGGCGGACGGGUGAGUAACACGUGGAUAACCUACCUAUAAGACUGGGAUAACUUCGGGAAACCGGAGCUAAUACCGGAUAAUAUUUAGAACCGCAUGGUUCAAAAGUGAAAGACGGUCUUGCUGUCACUUAUAGAUGGAUCCGCGCUGCAUUAGCUAGUUGGUAAGGUAACGGCUUACCAAGGCAACGAUGCAUAGCCGACCUGAGAGGGUGAUCGGCCACACUGGAACUGAGACACGGUCCAGACUCCUACGGGAGGCAGCAGUAGGGAAUCUUCCGCAAUGGGCGAAAGCCUGACGGAGCAACGCCGCGUGAGUGAUGAAGGUCUUCGGAUCGUAAAACUCUGUUAUUAGGGAAGAACAUAUGUGUAAGUAACUGUGCACAUCUUGACGGUACCUAAUCAGAAAGCCACGGCUAACUACGUG
RNAcentral lists this ribosomal RNA (497 nucleotides) under uncultured bacterium. RNAcentral describes it as "partial 16S ribosomal RNA". It matches the Rfam family "Bacterial small subunit ribosomal RNA", at positions 28 to 507 of the family's 1533-position model. The record is from RNAcentral.